GGGGAAUUUUGGACAAUGGGCGCAAGCCUGAUCCAGCCAUGCCGCGUGUCUGAAGAAGGCCUUCGGGUUGUAAAGGACUUUUGCCAGGGAAGAAAAGGCUGUUGCUAAUACCGACAGCUGAUGACGGUACCUGAAGAAUAAGCACCGGCUAACUACGUGCCAGCAGCCGCGGUAAUACGUAGGGUGCGAGCGUUAAUCGGAAUUACUGGGCGUAAAGCGAGCGCAGACGGUUACUUAAGCAGGAUGUGAAAUCCCCGGGCUCAACCUGGGAACUGCGUUCUGAACUGGGUGACUAGAGUGUGUCAGAGGGAGGUAGAAUUCCACGUGUAGCAGUGAAAUGCGUAGAGAUGUGGAGGAAUACCGAUGGCGAAGGCAGCCUCCUGGGAUAACACUGACGUUCAUGCUCGAAAGCGUGGGUAGCAAACAGGAUUAGAUACCCUGGUAGUCCACGCCCUAAACGAUGUCAAUUAGCUGUUGGGCAACUUGAUUGCUUAGUAGCGUAGCUAACGCGUGAAAUUGACCGCCUGGGGAGUACGGUCGCAAGAUUA
RNAcentral lists this ribosomal RNA (548 nucleotides) under uncultured bacterium. RNAcentral's name for it is "bacterial SSU rRNA". It matches the Rfam family "Bacterial small subunit ribosomal RNA", at positions 356 to 896 of the family's 1533-position model. The record is from RNAcentral.